RNAcentral lists this ribosomal RNA (838 nucleotides) under Polypedates leucomystax (Java whipping frog). RNAcentral's name for it is "partial 16S ribosomal RNA". It matches the Rfam family "Bacterial large subunit ribosomal RNA", at positions 1516 to 2606 of the family's 2925-position model. Lineage: Eukaryota; Metazoa; Chordata; Amphibia; Anura; Rhacophoridae. The record is from RNAcentral.
UUAAUUUUCAUGAACCCCUAAUUUAUAAUGAAUGACUCCAUAUUUAUAUGGAAGACACCAUGCUAGGAUUAGUAACAAGAAUUUAUAAUUCUCCAAAAUGCAAAUAUAAACCAACAUGGAUGGACCAUUGGUAGUUACCGAACCUAAAUUUUAUGCAAUAACACCCACAAGAAAACUCUGCAGUACUUACUCGUUAACCUAACACCAGCGCAUUACAGGAAAGAUUUAAAAAAAGAGAAGGAAUUCGGCAAAUGACGGCCCCGCCUGUUUACCAAAAACAUCGCCUCUUGACUUAUAAUAAGAGGUCCAGCCUGCCCAGUGAAUUUUAAACGGCCGCGGUAUUCUAACCGCGCGAAGGUAGCAUAAUCACUUGUUCUUUAAAUGGGGACUCGUAUCAACGGCAUCACGAGGGUUUUACUGUCUCCUCUUUUUGAUCAGUGAAAUUGAUCUUCCCGUGAAGAAGCGGGAAUAAAUUUAUAAGACGAGAAGACCCCAUGGAGCUUUAAACCAAAUAACAACUUAACCACUUAUCCCAUAAUAAAUUUAAACCCUGUUAUAAGGUUUUUGGUUGGGGUGACCGCGGAGUAAAGCACAUCCUCCACGACGGAAAGAACAAAAUCUUUAUUUAAGAACCACACUUCUAGAAAUUAGUAUACUAACGUUUACUGACCCGACAAUCGAUCAACGGACCAAGUUACCCUGGGGAUAACAGCGCAAUCUACUUCAAGAGCCCAUAUCGACAAGUAGGCUUACGACCUCGAUGUUGGAUCAGGGUAUCCCGGUGGUGCAGCCGCUACCGAAGGUUCGUUUGUUCAACGAUUAAAACCCUACGUGAUCU